UAUAGGCUUUGGAAAAGGUCUGUUUGGAAUACCUAUUUAAUAGGGAGUUGAUUGGAUUAAUUAACCUAAGGUUGUAGAGUUUAACCUAAGUUUUAUUUGCCUCUUCCUCCACCCGAUGCACAUCUCCUCUUUCCGUGCCCUAAGCCACCGCCGCAUCUCCCUCUCCCUCUCCCUCUCGCGAGAGCCCACACCCUGCCGACUCUCCUCUCGUGAGUUCUCAAAGAGCCACAGCCGCUUGCUCUUUUUUCCCUCACUCUCGUCGGCCUUUUCUCCUUGCACGAGCACCAUAGAUUGCAGCCGCUCCCUCGCCCUCACACCAGCGACACAACCGCCAGCUCUCUUCCCCGAGUCCUCGCUUGCGGUUUCGCUCCGGUGUCUCUGCCGUGCCGACCAUCCAUGAGCCCACAGCCGGUGUCGUCUUUCCCUAAAUCGAUCGUCAGCUGGGAGAGUGAUCACCACUGCCCGAGCUGAUGCCGCCCUCUUCCGAUUGCUCGUUGUCGUUGAUCACAGAGCCUCGAUGCUAACAGCCAUCCACCAAUUUUGAGACGUCGGUGCCCUAAGAUGCAGUCGUCUUUGAUCUUCGGACUGCCCUUUCCUUUUCAAUAGGCUGAGCAGUGCCCUAGCUUUGCUUCGACCACCAUAGCUUCAUCAGCAGCUAGUUCGGAUGGGUGCCGCUGGCCACAGUGAGUUGCAGCAGUAGGGGAUUGGUAACAUUAGGGUAACAGGUAGAUGAGUCAUGGAUGCUUGGAGAGAUGCCGGCUGCCAGUCCUGGGUCCGAUGUCACACUCGAGGAUAGUUUCUUUUUGGAUUUUGUUAUCGUUUGGGUGGUAUGUUGAUUUUGUGUAUUUUUACUUUUCAAUAAGUCGAUGUGAAUUUUGGGUCAAGUCUGUGAUGGCAGGUAUUUGUGUUAGUGUCAUUGUUGGUUUUACGUUCGUAUCGUUUUAUGUCUUC
This is a long non-coding RNA of Zingiber officinale, 951 nucleotides long. RefSeq lists it as uncharacterized. The transcript is spliced from 2 exons. The record is from RefSeq and is a predicted model, not a curated record. Lineage: Eukaryota; Viridiplantae; Streptophyta; Magnoliopsida; Zingiberales; Zingiberaceae.